GCUACCGCCUGAUUCUGCACAGUGGAGUGUGACUAGAAAAAUAAGAACCAAGCUGCGUGGAGAGUGAGUUUAUAUGCUGUACGGUGAUUUUUUUUGUUGCUUCUACUCUCGUUGGUAAUCAUGCUGAUUCCUUCUAAGAUAUCGUCGGUGGAAGAUAUAAUGAAGGGCCGUUGUAAGGAAGUAGCAGCCGCAGCAGCACGCGAAAUAAAAAAAAAAAAGAAAAGUUGAUGGUGAAAUAACAUGCGCGAAAGCGUACGCGAAACAGGCAAAAUAGUAGAGGGGGAGAUCCUGCCGCGAACGGGUGGUAGGGGGUGUACGUACCGCGGAAGACUAGAUGACAAAUGCAGUGCCGGUCCGGGUGCCAGUUCAUCUCCAGAAGUCCUUGCGAAACGAAUCGCGCGGGAUUCGCUGCUGGCCAGUUUCUGUGAAUCGGGAGAAGAAGCCAAAUUAGUGACAAUUAUAGAAAUCAUCUCUUUGGCGCGCCGCGUCGGUGACCGAAGGCUGUGCUGUGCGAACGGGAAAGCGUUUUUUUUUUGUUUUAGCAUUCUGAGUAGGCCUUGCCAACAGUGGCGCCAUUCGCCUGUCGUGGGAGAAACAGUUCCGGUGAAAAUGCGAACGAAGGGAUGCGUUUUUCGCUACCCGACUGCCAUCCAGUGGGCAAGGUUGGAACCCUGGAGGAGUGAGACUUUGAUAAGGGACCUGUGUCUUAUCUGUGUGGUUUUUCACAGAACAUCUAGCCACACACAUUUGCUGCUGGAGUGCAAUCUAGUGCGCGCACACUAGUCAGCUUCCCUAUCCAGCGAUAAGGGCUUCGAACUCCUUCAAAGUGAAAGCGAGUGAUUUUUUGUUGUUGUUGUUGUUGUGGUGCUGAUAUGAUUCAUGGCCUACCGGUCAUCGUUCGGUUGGCCCGGGACGGCGCGUGUGAGUGGUUUCCUUGUGAAAUGCUAUCACUGAUAACGAGUACCGAGGGGUCGACGGUGGGAAAGGGGGGCCGCCGAAAGCUACGGCUGCUAGGGAACCGGAGCUGCAAUGGCAUGGAAGAAGAGUCCAGCAACUUGUGGCUCUCGAUAAGAAGACGACAGCCGGUCCACUUUCGACAAGUGAACGACUUGUUAAUAUGACAGUUCGGUACACAGAGCCGAACUGACGUGGGAUGAGCAAUACCGAAGGCGGACACCGGAGAACAAAGCAGACUUUCGCGCCGUGUAGACGGUUUUCCAGUGGAGCAAACCUGUGCGCCUGAUUUCGGAGAUUUUGUUAGCCGAAGCCCCUCUUAGAAGAAGUGGAAACAGCACCUAGCUAGCUGCUAGGCUGCCUGUGUGGUGGAGCCUUUCGUGCAGUCAACAUAGUUUUUGCUCCGGCAGUUGAUCGGCGAAGCGCAGCAAAUGUGGACCUUGGCAUUAGCCACAACAACACCGUCAUCAUCGUCAUCAUUAUCAUUAUCGUCAUCAUCGUCAUAAUCUUCAUUAUCCGAUCGUCAUUGGUAUCACCGGUGAAAAGUAGUGCUUAAACAUCCAACCACGAGUUUGUCAGCCAACCAGUCGAAGAUAGGCAAAAGACGAAAACACGUAAUCAAUCGCUUUGAUACGAACAAGUGCUAAACAUCGCGAACUGCCAGUGGUGUAGUGAAACCUAGGAGGUUCCGUGAAACUGACAAUCAUCGUGGCGAAAACAGUUGCAGAAAAACGACCACCUUAUGCCGCCCAAAAUAGUGAUUUACAAGUGAUCGACGACCUGUGGGAUUAUCCAAAUUGCAGAAUGGUCAGUGUAUCAAAAGUUACGUUGAUUUCAUCUCAAAGCGCGAGACGACCAGUUAAAUCGAUAAUCGACCGUUUGUCCACCAUCAGCAGCACCGCUUCAUCAUCAUCAUAAGCAUCGGAUGAUAUUCACAUGAUACAAAGAUGCAGCACGUGUUUUUCGCGUUUGUUAACAUCAACCAGUUCGCCGGUGACGAUGCGGUGAUCCGGCAUUCGCAAGUUGGUUCCUCGAUAAUCGAUCAUUGAUUCGCACCGGGGCAUCAGUCAGCCACUCUCUGAGUCAUCGAACGAGAACGAGCCAGAUAAAUUAUCUUCGUAGAACGAUUAUCGUUGGACGGAACAUAUGUGCCGGGGUCGGGUUGACUCCCUCCCCAAGAGCCGGCUGGCUGUCGGAGGAAAAAUUACACCCUAGUAAUUGACUUUGUGCACACUUGAUAGCUCCAAAACUGUUCGCUCCUACUAUCGCGUACCGCUUCGACACAAAUUAAGUCAUAAAGGGUAAUAAAAGCAAAAUUUAUUAUCAACCGAGGCUCCGAUGCCGGACGACGACGACGACGACGAGGGGCGACAGCGAAACCCGGAACGACCAGAACCCAAAAAUCGAUUCCUGCCCGGUUUGCCGACGGACGAAGAAGGAACGAAUGGAACGGUUUUAUGCCUUAGCCCCCGAAAAAAAAAGCCCAUAAAUAAGCGUUCGGCCAACGUCGAGUGCACUCCAUUACGUACCGACGUGGUGUGCCCAGCGAGUUCGUUCAGCAGAGCAAGCAAAAAAAACGUCGAGCAAUUUAUGACUUUAACUCCUAUGAUACCCACCACAGCCCAGAUCUCGCCCGACCGCCGUGCACACCAACCACCCGGAACACCCGUUCCCAACCCAAAACGGAUCACUUUAAUGCACAUUGUCCGACGGCGGUAUGCAAUUUCCCGAACGAAACCUGCCGAAAAGCAUCGUGGCUGCAACAAGGUGCACUAUUUUUGAAACCCCUCCCGGUAUGUGUCGAUAAUCGGCCGCAAAAGGGUGCCGUGAAAAUGUGUCAUAAAUUGGCGCACCCCCUCCGGGCGCUCAACCGGAGCAAAGCCUGUCCUGGCGAAUUAGGGCGGAGGGCGUGUUUUCGCAAUUUCUACCGUUUGUCCCACAUGGCUUGGCAUCGCAUGGCAUAGAAUCGCCUGCCGGACGCCAUAUUCGGUUCGGUGGAAGAAUAGUAGUGACAUGUGAUUUGCUCUCCUGUGCUCUGGAGAGAUGCUGACCACGGAUAAUAACUUCCGUACGGUGUGCCAUCGGCUUACCCUCGAUUCGGGCAUUCGCACGCAAACAUUUGUCGACGGUUUAAUUUGUUCGGUUUUGUGAUUAUGAUUAUGUGAGUAAUUGAGUUUAGAAUUCGAACUAAUUUAAUAAACAAAUCAUGGUUACUGUGGUUUGCCGGUGGCCGGGCAGUUGACUACGCCUACUACAUUUAUGUUGACGUAGAAUCACAAACGAAUUUCCAGACAUGACAGUCACGAUCUUUUUUUGGCGCACAUCUACGGUCCUCCGUGAAACUGGCACCAAUGGUGAUAAAUUGGUUGCACUGCUGAGUUCCCAUCAUCGCAUUCAUAAUGCAAAUGUCGAACCGUGAGAACCCUUUCGAUACGUUAGCUCAUUUGUAUAGAUUGAGAAUUAAUGGCACACUUUGGUCGAAAUGAUAACAAUCCAAUUAAUCUCGCGCUCCACCAAGCGGUGAGUGCGGUCAUUUCAGAAGGUACCGGGAACGGACCAGAUUUUUUUUUUAAUAUUUGUAAGCACGUACAUGUCUUUAUUAUUUGUCUUUAGUAGAAUGUUCUUUGAAGAACCGCUUGAUUGUUUCUGAAAAAAAUGAUAGCCACAAAAUUUGUAUCUAAUGUUUGGAAUAGGUCCAAACCCGGAGAUUUACAAUCCCAUUGUUGUUCAAGUCUGACAAUACCCACUUCAAGACAUUUCAGCAAAACGACUAACCAAAAAUUCGGAUAAAACGAAAAUAUUAGAAGAAGAUUAGAAGGCUUAUAAAUAAUCUAAUCUUGUCUAAAGUAAUUAUCCACACUGGAAAGUUCACUCGACACAACCGAAAGAACUUCUAAAUAGCACCUAGAAUGUGUCGGUCGGGUCGAUCUAAUUCGGAUGGAACUUUAUUUGUAACUGAUCGUACUCGGAACAAAAAAUGGUGGCUGGGUACUGUCUGGGACCUAACCGGAUGACGUUGGUCCUAAACUAUUCAUAUUACUGGGUUAAGUCCAACUGGAACUGAACCUGGUCUUACCAUAAUAAUGGAACCUUAGCAUAGAAAGUUCAGUUAGAGAUCCAAUCUCUCCAGAAUCUGGAUCGAAAAUGUGGUAGGUCCAGGUUCUGGUCCAAUUCCAGGUUCAUGAUUUGGAAGUUCCCGAUCUACUCAGAUUUAAAAAAAAAAAUGUGAAUUUACAUCGAUUUUCAUUCAACCAUUUGAAGUAGGAAAUCGAAUGGAAAAUUACCUUACAGUUCUUCAUUUUUCAAUAAAUUAGUAACAAAACUAAUCGUUUUUAGAAAUAUACAGUCUUGUAAAGAUUGUCCCAGAAAGUAUGGACGCACUUUGAUUUCGCUUUAAAUAAUUCACAAGUGUUAGAUAUUAAAAUUUCAUUCGAUAUACUGAUAAUGUUAGACUACAACAACAGAAUGUUAUUCUCAACAUUUGCUACUUAGCCAUUGCAGACUAACUGCCACACCUUCUUGCGAACGUUCCUUAUUAAAUUCCGUACAGACUUCUUGGCGACAAGUUUUGACACCUUUUUCUAAUCUUUUUCGAACUGUUGGAUGGUUUCGGUUGCCGAGACAUGUUUCCUAAGAUGUGCCUUCGUUAAUGCCCAAAAUUCCUCAAUUGGUCGAAGUUGUGGGCAGUGACAUUUUUGGUAGUAUACCAUUCUACCGUUGAUUUCUAGUUGUGGCAAGAAGCAAGAUCUGGCCAGAAGAUAACAGGAUCCUUGUGGCUUCGAAUCAUGGGUAGAAGUCGUUUUUGCAAACAUUUCACUGUUCAUUGAAGCGGUGGUGAUGAAGGGUUUCGAAAUCUUGCCGCAGCUACAAAUUGCUUUCCAGACCAUAGCUUGUUACCAAAUUUUUCGACUUCCGUAGAUGUCUCGGACUGGUUUAACACUUGUCCUUCUCGCACCGUAUAAUAUUGUGGUCCCGGCAAAGAUUUGUAAUCGGGUUUCACGUAGGUUUCGUCGUCCAUGAUUAUGCAGUUCAAAUUUCCAGCAAGAAUUGUAUUGUACAGCUUUGGAACCCUCGGUCUGAUCGAUGCUUCUUGUUUCGGACUACGUUUUGGUUGUUUCUGCUUCUGAUAGGUUUGAAGAUUCCAACGUUCUUUAGCACGAAGAACGUUUCACUUCGAAGUGCCCACUUUUUUGGCCACAUUCCGAUCUGAAACCUCCUUUUUUUGCUCGAACGCCUUCAGUAUACAUUUAUCCAACUGAGGGUUAGCAGGACCUUUUUUCGACCCGUUUUCGGUUUAUCCUCAAAGGUGUUAUCCUCACCGAACUUCCUGAUUGCAUUUCGCACGGCUUUUUCACUCACUCCUUCCAUUUUUGCUAACUUUCUCAGUGACAGCCCGCGUUCUGUGCACCAUUUGUACACAAUUUUUCGACGUUGUUCUGCUGAAAGUCCACAUAUUUCGAAACAAACUAAUGAAAACGAAUAAACAACUGCACAAGUGGUUAGAAAAACCAGUCGGUGUUGAACAGUCGUUCUCACCGCACUCUUGCCUCCUGGAAAUUUUUUCUGGUUACCUAGCGUUUCAUUGAUUCAAGGCUUCAGUCUUUUUUAAGGCUACCUGAAUCACCAAUAGUCUUUCUAAAGACUAAAAAUUAGUCAGCCUUUCUCAAGGCUCAAAGAGUGAUAUUAGAGUGACUAAGAAAUUAAUCAGCCUUUUUAAGGCUAACUAU
This is a long non-coding RNA of Malaya genurostris, 5681 nucleotides long. RefSeq lists it as uncharacterized. The transcript is spliced from 5 exons. The record is from RefSeq and is a predicted model, not a curated record. Lineage: Eukaryota; Metazoa; Arthropoda; Insecta; Diptera; Culicidae.